GAUUCCCUUCCUACAAAUCAAACUAUAAUAUCAAAGAAGAAACCCCCCAGGGAUCUG
Molecule: non-coding RNA, 57 nt
Filed under: Cavenderia fasciculata
Lineage: Eukaryota; Evosea; Eumycetozoa; Acytosteliales; Cavenderiaceae
Source: Rfam by way of RNAcentral